RNAcentral lists this ribosomal RNA (908 nucleotides) under uncultured bacterium. RNAcentral describes it as "bacterial SSU rRNA". It matches the Rfam family "Bacterial small subunit ribosomal RNA", at positions 8 to 916 of the family's 1533-position model. The record is from RNAcentral.
AGAGUUUGAUCCUGGCUCAGGAUGAACGCUAGCUACAGGCUUAACACAUGCAAGUCGAGGGGCAGCGGGAGAGUAGCUUGCUACUCUUGCCGGCGACCGGCGGAUGGGUGAGUAACGCGUAUCCAACCUGCCCCGCGCCCGGGGAUAGCCCUUAGAAAUGAGGAUUAAGACCCGAUACCUGCGGGCCCCGCAUGGGGCUUUCAGAAAACAAGGCACGGGAUGGGGAUGCGUUGGAUUAGCUUGCCGGCGGGGUGACGGCCCACCGGGGCGACGAUCCAUAGGGGUUCUGAGAGGAAGGUCCCCCACACUGGUACUGAGACACGGACCAGACUCCUACGGGAGGCAGCAGUGAGGAAUAUUGGUCAAUGGGCGGGAGCCUGAACCAGCCAAGUAGCGUGCAGGAUGACGGCCCUACGGGUUGUAAACUGCUUUUGCGCAGGGAUAAAAAAGCCCACGUGUGGGCUCUUGCAGGUACUGCGUGAAUAAGGACCGGCUAAUUCCGUGCCAGCAGCCGCGGUAAUACGGAAGGUCCGAGCGUUAUCCGGAUUUAUUGGGUUUAAAGGGUGCGCAGGCGGAGAUGCAAGCCAGCCGUAAAAUCGUGGGGCUCAACCCCAUUCAGCGGUUGGAACUUCAUCCCUUGAUUGCGGCAGAGGGAGGUGGAACUCGUGGUGUAGCGGUGAAAUGCAUAGAUAUCACGAAGAACUCCGAUUGCGAAGGCAGCCUCCUGGACCGUAAAUGACGCUCAUGCACGAAGGCGCGGGUAUCAAACAGGAUUAGAUACCCUGGUAGUCCCCGCAGUAAACUAUGAAUGCUCGCGGUUCGCCCCUAGGGCGUGCCGCCUAGCGAAAGCGUUAAGCAUUCCACCUGGGGAGUACGCCGGCAACGGUGAAACUCAAAGGAAUUGACGG